UGAUUCUCUCUCAUCAUUUCAAGCCUUACAGGUAGAAGAGGAUCCGUAAUAGAAUUGGGAAAGAAAGAGGAGACAAGUUUUCUUUUCCAGCCCAUGGAAAAAUAACUUUCUGGAUUAUCAUCUGGAAACUGGGAAGUACCAACAUGAGCAACGAUGAGAGGCCAGUGAACCCUGCCUCACCUCCGCUGACUGAGUGCCUGAAGAGAAAGAGGGGAAGACCAAAGAAGCAGCCACAGGAGGCUGUGGGGCCACUGCCAGUGAAGAAACCACGAGGAAGGCCGAAAGGAAGCAAGAAAGCGAAUGCUGUAUCUCAAAUGUUAGAACCUUCUGCUGAGAAAAGGCCAAGAGGGAGGCCCCGCAAGUGGACGAGAUGGCUUCAGCCCUGCUUUGUAGCUGUUCAGCGUGCCUGACAUGGCUGGAGACCAAGACCUCCCGGGGGACAGGUCCCUGCAGUGGAAAAGGCAGUGGAGGGCAGCCAGGCGGAGUUGAGGACAUGCUAUCCAACAUCAUCUUGUGGAGCACAAAGAUCCAUGUGUGCUGUCAAAAUCUAAUAUCUUUAGUAAAGUUAUCUGGAAUAGUUUUUAUCCUGUUCCAUGUUCUUUUUUGUUGAUAGAAGAGCAAUUUCCAAAAAUUGC
Molecule: long non-coding RNA, 635 nt
Filed under: Dromaius novaehollandiae (emu)
Lineage: Eukaryota; Metazoa; Chordata; Aves; Casuariiformes; Dromaiidae
Description: lncRNA (ENSDNVG00000000919.1)
Source: RNAcentral